RNAcentral lists this ribosomal RNA (602 nucleotides) under uncultured bacterium. Its description in RNAcentral is "bacterial SSU rRNA". It matches the Rfam family "Bacterial small subunit ribosomal RNA", at positions 8 to 596 of the family's 1533-position model. The record is from RNAcentral.
AGAGUUUGAUCCUGGCUCAGGACGAACGCUGGCGGUAUGCUUAACACAUGCAAGUCAAGGAGAAAGUUUCCUUCGGGAGAUGAUUAAACUGGCGCACGGGUGAGUAAUGUGUAAAUAAUCUACCCAUGGGAUUGGGAUAACAUUUCGAAAGGGAUGCUAAUACCAAAUAAUGCAGCGGGGCCGAAUGGUCAUGUUGUUAAAGCUGCUUCGGUAGUGCCUAUGGAUGAGUUUGCAUUUGAUUAGCUAGUUGGAGAGGUAAAGGCUCCCCAAGGCGAUGAUCAAUAGCUGGUCUGAGAGGAUGAUCAGCCACACUGGAACUGAGACACGGUCCAGACUCCUACGGGAGGCAGCAGUGAGGAAUAUUGGGCAAUGGACGAAAGUCUGACCCAGCAAUACCGCGUGAAGGAUGAAGGUCGUAAGACUGUAAACUUCUGUCUAAAGGGACGAACACUGGUAAUUCGCAAGGGUUGCCAGCUGACUGUACCUUUAAAGAAAGCCCCGGCUAACUACGUGCCAGCAGCCGCGGUAAUACGUAGGGGGCGAGCGUUGUCCGGAUUUACUGGGUGUAAAGGGCGCGUAGGCGGGCUAUUAAGUCAGAUGUG